UAACAAGGAUUCCCUUAGUAACUGCGAGUGAAGCGGGAAGAGCUCAAAUUUGUAAUCUGGCGAUCUCUGGUCGUCCGAGUUGUAAUCUGUAGAGGCGUCGUCCGCGUCGGCCCGUGUACAAGUCUCCUGGAAUGGAGCGUCAUAGAGGGUGAGAAUCCCGUCCAUGACACGGACCACCGAUGCUUUGUGAGGUGCCCUCGAAGAGUCGCGUUGUUUGGGAAUGCAGCGCAAAAUGGGUGGUAAAUUCCAUCUAAGGCUAAAUAUUGGCGAGAGACCGAUAGCGAACAAGUACCGUGAGGGAAAGAUGAAAAGCACUUUGGAAAGAGAGUUAAACAGUACGUGAAAUUGUUGAAAGGGAAACGCUUGAAGUCAGUCGCGUCCUGGGGCAUUCAGCCUCGCUUCGGCUUGGUGUACUUGCCUUGGGAUGGGUCAACAUCAAUUUUGGCUGGUGGAUAAGGGUGAGGGGAAUGUAGCGUUGUUUCGGCGACGUGUUAUAGCCCCUCAUUGAAUACAUCGGCUGGGAUUGAGGACCGCAGCACGCCCUUGUGGCCGGGGGUUCGCCCUACUCACGUGCUUAGGAUGUUGGCAUAAUGGCUUUAAGCGACCCGUCUUGAAACACGGACCAAGGAGUCUAACAUGCUUGCGAGUGUUCGGGUGGAAAACCCUUGCGCGUAAUGAAAGUGAAAGUUGGGAGCCUUCGCGAGGAGGUGCACCGACGCCCGGCCCUGAUGUGCUCUGACGGUGCUGCGGUAGAGCAAGUAUGUUGGGACCCGAAAGAUGGUGAACUAUGCCUGAAUAGGGUGAAGCCAGAGGAACUCUGGUGGAGGCUCGUAGCGAUUCUGACGUGCAAAUCGAUCGUCAAAUUUGGG
This 869-nucleotide ribosomal RNA is filed under the name Phylloporia lonicerae. Its description in RNAcentral is "partial large subunit ribosomal RNA". It matches the Rfam family "Eukaryotic large subunit ribosomal RNA", at positions 66 to 915 of the family's 3401-position model. Lineage: Eukaryota; Fungi; Basidiomycota; Agaricomycetes; Hymenochaetales; Hymenochaetaceae. The record is from RNAcentral.